This 439-nucleotide ribosomal RNA is filed under the name uncultured bacterium. Its description in RNAcentral is "bacterial SSU rRNA". It matches the Rfam family "Bacterial small subunit ribosomal RNA", at positions 806 to 1250 of the family's 1533-position model. The record is from RNAcentral.
ACGAUGUCAACUAGUUGUCGGGGAUUCAUUUCCUUGGUAACGCAGCUAACGCGUGAAGUUGACCGCCUGGGGAGUACGGCCGCAAGGUUAAAACUCAAAGGAAUUGACGGGGACCCGCACAAGCGGUGGAUGAUGUGGAUUAAUUCGAUGCAACGCGAAAAACCUUACCUACGCUUGACAUGCCAGGAACUUUCCAGAGAUGGAUUGGUGCCCGAAAGGGAACCUGGACACAGGUGCUGCAUGGCUGUCGUCAGCUCGUGUCGUGAGAUGUUGGGUUAAGUCCCGCAACGAGCGCAACCCUUUUCCUUAGUUGCUACGCAAGGGCACUCUAGGGAUACUGCCGGUGACAAACCGGAGGAAGGUGGGGAUGACGUCAAGUCCUCAUGGCCCUUAUGUGUAGGGCUUCACACGUCAUACAAUGGUCGGUACAGAGGGUCGC